Molecule: ribosomal RNA, 253 nt
Filed under: uncultured bacterium
Lineage: Bacteria
Description: partial 16S ribosomal RNA
Rfam family: Bacterial small subunit ribosomal RNA
Source: RNAcentral
UACGUAGGGUGCGAGCGUUGUCCGGAAUUAUUGGGCGUAAAGAGCUCGUAGGCGGCUUGUCGCGUCGGAUGUGAAAGCCCGGGGCUCAACUCCGGGUCUGCAUUCGAUACGGGCAGACUAGAGUUCGGUAGGGGAGAUCGGAAUUCCUGGUGUAGCGGUGAAAUGCGCAGAUAUCAGGAGGAACACCGGUGGCGAAGGCGGAUCUCUGGGCCGAUACUGACGCUGAGGAGCGAAAGCGUGGGGAGCGAACAGG